AUGUCCGAGGCGCUCUGUCGCCGGCCUUACCCCGGGGACUUGUUUGGCCGCUGGAAAGGAUCCAGAAGGCCACUGCCCUUGGCCCACCCCGCCCCCCUCUCCAGGNGGCCGCCGAGCACGGCCGCCGCGGCGCCGGCUUCCGGGCGGAGGGAAGCACCUGCCUCCGCCCACCUUGACCCCGAGGCCGGCGCCCAGAGCUCCCGGCGCCCCUCCCGGGCUGUCCUCACGGAGGUCUCUGGAGGGCGAAACCUGGAUCCUCGCGGCCUUCGAGUGCUCGCUCCCCUGCCGGGGGACGGAGUGGGGGGUGGGGGCGACCCGGGUACCCAUGACCGAGGCCCGCUCCGCAGGGCCGAGAGAGUUCGACGCUCCCAAGGAGGGAGUCUCCAUGGAGGAAUUCCUCCUGCUUCGCUUUCAGAGUUGAAAGCCUGGAGGCCGUCGGUUCUGCAAAGAGAAGCGGUCGGGCGCGGGCAGGCAAGCAGCUGAUGAAAAUAAUUGUCCUAGCACACACAGCCCUGCGCCCAGGGGCGCGCGUACACACACACACACACACACACACACACACACACACACACAACUUGCCUCAUCUAGCUACCCAACCUUAGUAUUCCGGGCAUGCGGUUUUCAACAACUUGCUUGACACAAUAACAAAGACAUUUAAAUGCCAGGACGCAGACUUCACUUUUUAACCUGCUGAGAAGAGCUACUUUCAAAGCUUCCCCACCGCGAAUAAACUGACAAAAAAUAUGGGGUGCACUUAUAAAUUAAACACCUUACCCUCAAAGCGACGUGCGUUAAUCAGGUUUCUAAGGCAAUAGCCAUCUCUGUCUUUUCCUAUUCACCCAAAUAAUGCCACAAGAAGGAACCCCUUUACAGAAGAGAAAGCCAGGGGGAAAAAAUGAAUUAUACCCAUUGCUAGUAAAAAUCAUCUUAAAUCAAUAGAGCACCACUUGAACUUGAGUUUCCAUUGUUUCACUGAAUCAUCAAUGUUUUUAAUUAAACAGAGCUACCCUUUCUGUUAAAACAUUACAUAAAAGGGUUAGGUUUCUACUUUUGUUGAGGCAGCUGGCGUUUGUUGGCUGUUGUGUUUGAGCAACAGACUGUUCAAUAGAAGCGAGAAAUAGCUCAACGCGCUCUUAAUAGACCUGUUUCAACAAUGUACCUUGAAAAGGAAUACAUUGUGUUAUUGUGUUAGUUUGCUACAAACCUAUUAAAAGAAAAAUAGCAUCCAUCAGGUCUAACAAAACGCAUUUGUAUUAUACGUACUUAUCUGCUUCAAAUACACUUCUUGGCACAAUGUCUAGAAUUCAACUAGAUCAUCAAGAGCUGGACAGAAUAACACAUACCAGUUAGGUAAUGAUACACGGGCUAAAAAUAAUAAUAAAGAAAGGUCUAAGCAGAAAGUAAUCGUUACUUUUUGUUUAUCAUGAGAAAUACAGGCAACCCUUCUUCAAUUGAAAAUACAUUGCAAAAAUGUGGACUCAUAACAAAAACAAUUUUUAAAAUAUUCUUCAAAUUUAGAAAUAUUCUAACAUGGGAAUAUUGCUUCAAAAUCCAUACUUGGAACGAAUCUGAUACACUUUCGAUGGUAAUUUGUUUCAGACAGAGAUUCAAGGCACAAGCGAUGCAUUUUUGAAGCAGAAUUAAAUAGCGCAAAGAGCUGGGUUCUUUAGGGAAAUGCGUGAAACAAACAAAUCGAAAGCAAGGGUUCCAGCCAAGAGGUUGGGGAGCAGCGAUGUCUGGCAGUAGGAGAGGAAGUGCUUCUUGAAAGUGCUCUCUUAAAAAUGAUUUUUAAACUGACGUUAUCGUAUUUUAAACACAAAACGAAAUUUGAAGCAAAGAAAUGGGCGACUUCGCCACUAUGAGACAGAACCUACAGUAUGUUUCAGAGAGGGCUGCCACUUGGACCACAAACCUUAGAAAAACAGUAGCAAAUGAUGAAGCCAAUUGAAUUCUGAGAUGAGCUUCAAAGAAAAUACACCUAAAGUAGCAUCUGUCAGAGGGAGACACCUUUUGCUUCCACAAAAAGCAAUUGGUUUGGUUGCCAACCUCAGGGUGCCCAGCAUUCAACUUUCAACUGCAAAAAUGUUGGGGACACAAGAGAAUAGACUACAAGUGAACUCAGUUGUCAAAAAAAGAGAGAACUUACAUAAAUUACAAUACCACCCUAUGAGAGAUAUCUAUGUUAACAGAUAGAUGAAGCAAUAUUUUCCCAGAUAAAAUCAAUUGUUUUUUACUUAUCUGAAUUAAUAAAUUAUCAUGUGAAGAUUUAGAAAAAUGUCACCCUGAAACUUUAGGUGACAGUUUUCCCAUAAUUUAAAAUAACCGUGAUAGACUUCUCUAGAAGGCAUUUGAAGUCAGAUGGCUGAUAUGACUGCUUUCUUUAGCUAAAACAUUUUCUUUUCACAAGAAGGGUGUGUAUAUGCAUGUACUGGGAGGUAGUUGAGGUAUGUUUGAUUUAUAGUUUAAGAUUUCUCCUCCUUAGUCCAAAUCAGUUUUUGGAUUAAUUCUCUGGGAUUAAAAAAAAAAAUGAAUCAAAAAUCACAAACUGCAUAUCAUGAAAAUAACCUCUCAUACCAUUAACAGAAAAGUUGAUAUUUUCAAGGUGAGAUAUUUUUGAUGUAUCAGAUAAUCUACCAAAGAUGAAAGGAAGUUCACAAUAAAUUGAUUUAGCCAUGACAAGUAA
Molecule: long non-coding RNA, 2683 nt
Filed under: Lynx pardinus (Iberian lynx)
Lineage: Eukaryota; Metazoa; Chordata; Mammalia; Carnivora; Felidae
Source: RNAcentral